This is a long non-coding RNA of Myotis brandtii (Brandt's bat), 1135 nucleotides long. RefSeq lists it as uncharacterized. NCBI's taxonomy places the organism in Eukaryota, Metazoa, Chordata, Mammalia, Chiroptera, Vespertilionidae. The transcript has 2 exons. The record is from RefSeq and is a predicted model, not a curated record.
CCAAACUGUGAGCCCAUAUUUCUGCUCAAUCCUGACUUCUCCAGGCAAAGCCAAACUGUGAUCCAAAGUGACUCAGAAGUAAAGUCUAAACUCAAAAUUCCCAGGGAGCCUGAAAGAAUCCAUGAAAGCAGGCAGGACCCUUCUCCAGCAGAGAAAGGGUUCAUGGAGGGACUGGUAGCAGUUAGGUCAUGAGAAAGGGGAGAGCUAUGGGGACACUGGGCUUGAGUGGCAUCAACUCCUCACACAGCCCCACUCCUGUCUGGUUCUCAGGAGCAGCCGACACCAUCAGCCCCUCAAUGAACAACUCUGACCCCAAGAGUGCCUCCCACCCACAAGACUACACCAUGGAGAAUUCCAUCCGGAUGGGCGUGGCAGGAUUGGUCCUGUUGGUGCUCGGGGUGCUGCUCCUUUGGUCUCGAAACAGCCAGAUAAAGACCCAGGAAGCAGCCAGGACAUGAACAUGGAGGGAACAAUGCACGGUUCAGAGAGGAGGAUCUUGGGAAGGUUCUGGAAGAUAAUGUGGAACAUAUGCUGAGAGACCUGUCUGGGACUCCUUGCAGUUGGAGGAGUCAUCGCUCAUGUGCCGGGACUAGUUCUGGACCUUCUGCCCUUGAACUGUGGUCCUUUCCCUCCCGACCACUGUGAGUCCUGUGACUGGUUCCUGACUUUCCCCAUUUUGGUGAAAUUAGCAUUUAUCCCACAUGGCAGGUACAGGCCCACACCUCCCUAUACUUUCAUGGAAUAUGUUUUCCUUUAUUUCUAACCACAUGAACCUUCAUGUCAGUAUAGAGUCCCCAUCUCCUGAGUCCAGAGUGUGCAAUCUAUUGUAGCCAUCUACAAGGUGCACAAUCCAUCCUGCAAGAGGUAAACCCACAGGAGGUCCUAACGCCCUCUCUGGACUCCACACGCCCCUCACCUGGCCUCGGAGGCCACCGCUGUGCUUUCCACAUAAACUUCACCCCUUGGGAUCCAGACAUGGUUGUUUGAAGGGGUCGCCUGGUCUGCGCUGCCUCUGAAAACCCCAAUGUCCAAAUCACAGUGCAAGACAUAGAAGACAUGUUACAGAUGUGCAUCCUUGAAACCUAUGUCCUGUUAUUCACCGAUGGCACCUUAUUAAAUUUAAUAUAAAAAAUUA